This 73-nucleotide transfer RNA is filed under the name Canis lupus familiaris (dog). It matches the Rfam family "tRNA". Rfam says of the family: Transfer RNA (tRNA) molecules are approximately 80 nucleotides in length. Their secondary structure includes four short double-helical elements and three loops (D, anti-codon, and T loops). The record is from Rfam by way of RNAcentral. Lineage: Eukaryota; Metazoa; Chordata; Mammalia; Carnivora; Canidae.
GCCUGAAUGGUUCAGUUGGUGGAGCACGCGACUCUGGAUCUUGAGGUUGUGAGUUCAAGCCCCACGUUAGGUG